Molecule: ribosomal RNA, 568 nt
Filed under: uncultured bacterium
Lineage: Bacteria
Description: partial 16S ribosomal RNA
Rfam family: Bacterial small subunit ribosomal RNA
Source: RNAcentral
UGGGGAAUAUUGGACAAUGGGCGGAAGCCUGAUCCAGCAACGCCGCGUGAGGGAUGACGGCCUUCGGGUUGUAAACCUCUUUCAGUACCGACGAAGCGAAAGUGACGGUAGGUACAGAAGAAGGACCGGCCAACUACGUGCCAGCAGCCGCGGUAAUACGUAGGGUCCGAGCGUUGUCCGGAAUUAUUGGGCGUAAAGGGCUCGUAGGCGGCUUGUCGCGUCGGGAGUGAAAACAGCGGGCUUAACUCGUUGCUUGCUUUCGAUACGGGCAGACUAGAGGUAUGCAGGGGGAGAAUGGAAUUCCUGGUGUAGCGGGUGAAAUGCAGCGAUAUCAGGAGGAACACCGGUGGCGAAGGCGGUUCUCUGGGCAUUACCUGACGCUGAGGAGCGAAAGUGUGGGGAGCGAACAGGAUUAGAUACCCUGGUAGUCCACACCGUAAACGUUGGGCGCUAGGUGUGGGGUCCUUUCCACGGAUUCCGUGCCGUAGCUAACGCAUUAAGCGCCCCGCCUGGGGAGUACGGCCGCAAGGCUAAAACUCAAUGAAUUGACGGGGUCAUAGCUGUUUCC